GGUUAAGCGACUAAGCGUACACGGUGGAUGCCCUGGCAGUCAGAGGCGAUGAAGGGCGUGCUAAUCUGCGAUAAGCGCCGGUAAGGUGAUAUGAACCGUUAUAACCGGCGAUACCCGAAUGGGGAAACCCAGUGUGACUCGUCACACUAUCAUUAACUGAAUCCAUAGGUUAAUGAGGCGAACCGGGGGAACUGAAACAUCUAAGUACCCCGAGGAAAAGAAAUCAACCGAGAUUCCCCCAGUAGCGGCGAGCGAACGGGGAGGAGCCCAGAGCCUGAAUCAGCAUGUGUGUUAGUGGAAGCGUCUGGAAAGGCGCGCGAUACAGGGUGACAGCCCCGUACACAAAAGCGCAUGUGCUGUGAGCUCGAUGAGUAGGGCGGGACACGUGGUAUCCUGUCUGAAUAUGGGGGGACCAUCCUCCAAGGCUAAAUACUCCUGACUGACCGAUAGUGAACCAGUACCGUGAGGGAAAGGCGAAAAGAACCCCGGCGAGGGGAGUGAAAAAGAACCUGAAACCGUGUACGUACAAGCAGUGGGAGCCCCACCACUAAGCCAGUGGUGAACUCCACAUACGCAUCCUUUGCUGAGGAUACGGUUAACGGAGCGAAAGCGACGUUCAACCUCAAAAGAAGCAGAGGGGGCUUAGUGGUGGGGUGACUGCGUACCUUUUGUAUAAUGGGUCAGCGACUUAUAUUCUGUAGCAAGGUUAACCGAAUAGGGGAGCCGGAGGGAAACCGAGUCUUAACCGGGCGUUAAGUUGCAGGGUAUAGACCCGAAACCCGGUGAUCUAGCCAUGGGCAGGUUGAAGGUUGGGUAACACUAACUGGAGGACCGAACCGACUAAUGUUGAAAAAUUAGCGGAUGACCUGUGGCUGGGGGUGAAAGGCCAAUCAAACCGGGAGAUAGCUGGUUCUCCCCGAAAGCUAUUUAGGUAGCGCCUCGUGAAUUCAUCUCCGGGGGUAGAGCACUGUUUCGGCUAGGGGGCCAUCCCGGCUUACCAACCCGAUGCAAACUGCGAAUACCGGAGAAUGUUAUCACGGGAGACACACGGCGGGUGCUAACGUCCGUCGUGAAGAGGGAAACAACCCAGACCGCCAGCUAAGGUCCCAAAGUCAUGGUUAAGUGGGAAACGAUGUGGGAAGGCCCAGACAGCCAGGAUGUUGGCUUAGAAGCAGCCAUCAUUUAAAGAAAGCGUAAUAGCUCACUGGUCGAGUCGGCCUGCGCGGAAGAUGUAACGGGGCUAAACCAUGCACCGAAGCUGCGGCAGCGACACUCAGGUGUUGUUGGGUAGGGGAGCGUUCUGUAAGCCUGUGAAGGUGGCCUGUGAGGGUUGCUGGAGGUAUCAGAAGUGCGAAUGCUGACAUAAGUAACGAUAAAGCGGGUGAAAAGCCCGCUCGCCGGAAGACCAAGGGUUCCUGUCCAACGUUAAUCGGGGCAGGGUGAGUCGACCCCUAAGGCGAGGCCGAAAGGCGUAGUCGAUGGGAAACGGGUUAAUAUUCCCGUACUUGGUGUUACUGCGAAGGGGGGACGGAGAAGGCUAUGUUGGCCGGGCGACGGUUGUCCCGGUUUAAGCGUGUAGGUGUGUGUUCCAGGUAAAUCCGGUUCACUUUAACACUGAGGCGUGAUGACGAGGCACUACGGUGCUGAAGCAACAAAUGCCCUGCUUCCAGGAAAAGCCUCUAAGCAUCAGGUAACAUCAAAUCGUACCCCAAACCGACACAGGUGGUCAGGUAGAGAAUACCAAGGCGCUUGAGAGAACUCGGGUGAAGGAACUAGGCAAAAUGGUGCCGUAACUUCGGGAGAAGGCACGCUGACACGUAGGUGAAGUGAUUUACUCAUGGAGCUGAAGUCAGUCGAAGAUACCAGCUGGCUGCAACUGUUUAUUAAAAACACAGCACUGUGCAAACACGAAAGUGGACGUAUACGGUGUGACGCCUGCCCGGUGCCGGAAGGUUAAUUGAUGGGGUUAUCCGUAAGGAGAAGCUCCUGAUCGAAGCCCCGGUAAACGGCGGCCGUAACUAUAACGGUCCUAAGGUAGCGAAAUUCCUUGUCGGGUAAGUUCCGACCUGCACGAAUGGCGUAAUGAUGGCCAGGCUGUCUCCACCCGAGACUCAGUGAAAUUGAACUCGCUGUGAAGAUGCAGUGUACCCGCGGCAAGACGGAAAGACCCCGUGAACCUUUACUAUAGCUUGACACUGAACACUGGUCCUUGAUGUGCAGGAUAGGUGGGAGGCUUUGAAGCGCGGACGCCAGUUCGUGUGGAGCCAUCCUUGAAAUACCACCCUUUAAUGGCUGGUGUUCUAACGUAGACCCGUGAUCCGGGUUGCGGACAGUGUCUGGUGGGUAGUUUGACUGGGGCGGUCUCCUCCUAAAGAGUAACGGAGGAGCACGAAGGUUAGCUAAUCCUGGUCGGACAUCAGGAGGUUAGUGCAAAGGCAUAAGCUAGCUUGACUGCGAGCGUGACGGCGCGAGCAGGUGCGAAAGCAGGUCUUAGUGAUCCGGUGGUUCUGAAUGGAAGGGCCAUCGCUCAACGGAUAAAAGGUACUCCGGGGAUAACAGGCUGAUACCGCCCAAGAGUUCAUAUCGACGGCGGUGUUUGGCACCUCGAUGUCGGCUCAUCACAUCCUGGGGCUGAAGUAGGUCCCAAGGGUAUGGCUGUUCGCCAUUUAAAGUGGUACGCGAGCUGGGUUUAGAACGUCGUGAGACAGUUCGGUCCCUAUCUGCCGUGGGCGCUGGAGAACUGAGGGGGGCUGCUCCUAGUACGAGAGGACCGGAGUGGACGCAUCACUGGUGUUCGGGUUGUCAUGCCAAUGGCACUGCCCGGUAGCUAAAUGCGGAAGAGAUAAGUGCUGAAAGCAUCUAAGCACGAAACUUGCCCCGAGAUGAGUUCUCCCUGAGACUUAGAGUCUCCUGAAGGAACGUUGAAGACGACGACGUUGAUAGGCCGGGUGUGUAAGCGCAGCGAUGCGUUGAGCUAACCGGUACUAAUGAACCGUGAGGCUUAACCUU
Molecule: ribosomal RNA, 3009 nt
Filed under: Salmonella enterica subsp. enterica
Lineage: Bacteria; Pseudomonadati; Pseudomonadota; Gammaproteobacteria; Enterobacterales; Enterobacteriaceae
Description: 23S ribosomal RNA
Rfam family: Bacterial large subunit ribosomal RNA
Source: RNAcentral